GAUUUGUCGCCAGCGGCUUGCUGAGUGACAGGUCUCACCUCCCCAGCACCACCUGUGCCACCAGCACCCGUGGAAAUGGAAUUGAGGGCCUGAUUGUGAUGAUGCCACUCGUCCUUUGUGACUUCUUGCUGGGCCAUGGCGAAAUCACUGCAUCACACACAACACGCGCACCACGAAGAAAAGAGUCAUGUGGCCCAGAAUACCUAGAGUAGAGUGUGCUCCGUGGUCAGCCAGCAGCAGCAGCAGCAGCGAUUGUAAACAACAAUAGCCAUGGGCGCAGUUUUAGGGUCAAAGCAGGUUAUUCGUGCGGUGGCGAAAGACGCAGCGCGAAGGACUCGCACACACGGGCGGAGCCAUCGAGCUCUUCGGACCUUCCUCGAGGCCGUUUGGAGCGCGUCCGAGUGCGCGCUCGACGCCGCCGGCGCUUUUUCAAUCAAACAGGUUUCGAAUGGGACGGAUCUACACCAUUCCAUCAACAUCUUCACUCAAACUCUUUUAAUAUAACAAAUUCAACUCUGAGGAGUGAAUUUAGGCAUGGCACGCGUUGCAUACUUACGAGUUCUUACACUUUACACGCCUCUUUCUUCUUUUCCCUUUAACUUUCAAGUGCCAACAACAAAAAACCACAACACAACUAUCUAAAUCUAUAAUUUCAUGAGUUUAGAGUGGAAAAUUAGCGUUUUUACGCUUUGAAAUAUAAAAUUUAAUACACAGCUCAUUAAUAUUUAAUAUUCUUAUCAUGCACAUAGUAAAAUGAUAGUAGAUAAUCACCGGAAUGGAGUGCACGUGUUCGGCCAUCACGUACUGCGUUUGCAUGCGAGGUUUGAACCGUAAAGCAUUUAUUACACUCGCAAAUUUUAAAACUGGAGAGCGAGAUUGUGAAUACGUAAUCGUUAUGUAAAAUAUGAGACCGCUGCGACAAGAUUUGACGCUGGAAAUGUCGAACAACAGUUAAAGCUCGCAUCACUAAACUCAAACCGCACCUUGCGUAAUAUUCCAAACGCAAAGCACAGCGUUUGGAGUGGUCAACCAGGUAAUGUGAAUUCUUCAAAAUU
Dalotia coriaria is the source of this 1055-nucleotide long non-coding RNA. RefSeq lists it as uncharacterized. NCBI's taxonomy places the organism in Eukaryota, Metazoa, Arthropoda, Insecta, Coleoptera, Staphylinidae. The record is from RefSeq and is a predicted model, not a curated record. The transcript is spliced from 3 exons.